This 460-nucleotide ribosomal RNA is filed under the name uncultured bacterium. RNAcentral's name for it is "bacterial SSU rRNA". It matches the Rfam family "Bacterial small subunit ribosomal RNA", at positions 30 to 504 of the family's 1533-position model. The record is from RNAcentral.
UGAACGCUGGCGGCGUGCUUAACACAUGCAAGUCGAACGAAGUCCAUGGAGCUUGCUCCGGAAGAUUGAGUGGCGAACGGGUGCGUAACACGUGAGAAACCUGCCCCGGACUUUGGGAUAACAGUUGGAAACGACUGCUAAUACCGAAUAUCACCGUUUCCCCGCAUGGGGAUUUGUUGAAAGGUCCGCCGGUCCGGGAGGGUCUCACGGCCUAUCAGCUUGUUGGGGGGGUAAUGGCUCACCAAGGCAUCGACGGGUAGCUGGUCUGAGAGGAUGAUCAGCCACACUGGGACUGAGACACGGCCCAGACUCCUACGGGAGGCAGCAGUGGGGAAUCUUGCACAAUGGGCGCAAGCCUGAUGCAGCAACGCCGCGUGCGGGAAGAAGGCCUUAGGGUUGUAAACCGCUUUCAGUAGGGAAGAAAAUGACGGUACCUACAGAAGAAGGUGAGGCCAACUAC